Molecule: ribosomal RNA, 2924 nt
Filed under: Bacillus tropicus
Lineage: Bacteria; Bacillati; Bacillota; Bacilli; Caryophanales; Bacillaceae
Description: 23S ribosomal RNA
Rfam family: Bacterial large subunit ribosomal RNA
Source: RNAcentral
UUUGGUUAAGUUAGAAAGGGCGCACGGUGGAUGCCUUGACACUAGGAGUCGAUGAAGGACGGGACUAACGCCGAUAUGCUUCGGGGAGCUGUAAGUAAGCUUUGAUCCGAAGAUUUCCGAAUGGGGAAACCCACCAUACGUAAUGGUAUGGUAUCCUUAUCUGAAUACAUAGGGUAAGGAAGACAGACCCAGGGAACUGAAACAUCUAAGUACCUGGAGGAAGAGAAAGCAAAUGCGAUUUCCUGAGUAGCGGCGAGCGAAACGGAACAUAGCCCAAACAAGAGGCUUGCCUCUUGGGGUUGUAGGACAUUCUAUACGGAGUUACAAAGGAACGAGGUAGACGAAGCGACCUGGAAAGGUCCGUCGUAGAGGGUAACAACCCCGUAGUCGAAACUUCGUUCUCUCUUGAAUGUAUCCUGAGUACGGCGGAACACGUGAAAUUCCGUCGGAAUCUGGGAGGACCAUCUCCCAAGGCUAAAUACUCCCUAGUGAUCGAUAGUGAACCAGUACCGUGAGGGAAGGUGAAAAGCACCCCGAAAGGGGAGUGAAAGAGAUCCUGAAACCGUGUGCCUACAAAUAGUCAGAGCCCGUUAACGGGUGAUGGCGUGCCUUUUGUAGAAUGAACCGGCGAGUUACGAUCCGUGCGAGGUUAAGCUGAAGAGGCGGAGCCGCAGCGAAAGCGAGUCUGAAUAGGGCGUUUAGUACGUGGUCGUAGACCCGAAACCAGGUGAUCUACCCAUGUCCAGGGUGAAGUUCAGGUAACACUGAAUGGAGGCCCGAACCCACGCACGUUGAAAAGUGCGGGGAUGAGGUGUGGGUAGCGGAGAAAUUCCAAUCGAACCUGGAGAUAGCUGGUUCUCCCGAAAUAGCUUUAGGGCUAGCCUUAAGUGUAAGAGUCUUGGAGGUAGAGCACUGAUUGGACUAGGGGUCCUCAUCGGAUUACCGAAUUCAGUCAAACUCCGAAUGCCAAUGACUUAUCCUUAGGAGUCAGACUGCGAGUGAUAAGAUCCGUAGUCAAAAGGGAAACAGCCCAGACCGCCAGCUAAGGUCCCAAAGUGUGUAUUAAGUGGAAAAGGAUGUGGAGUUGCUUAGACAACUAGGAUGUUGGCUUAGAAGCAGCCACCAUUUAAAGAGUGCGUAAUAGCUCACUAGUCGAGUGACUCUGCGCCGAAAAUGUACGGGGCUAAAUACACCACCGAAGCUGCGGAUUGAUACCAAUGGUAUCAGUGGUAGGGGAGCGUUCUAAGGACAGUGAAGUCAGACCGGAAGGACUGGUGGAGUGCUUAGAAGUGAGAAUGCCGGUAUGAGUAGCGAAAGACGGGUGAGAAUCCCGUCCACCGAAUGCCUAAGGUUUCCUGAGGAAGGCUCGUCCGCUCAGGGUUAGUCAGGACCUAAGCCGAGGCCGACAGGCGUAGGCGAUGGACAACAGGUUGAUAUUCCUGUACCACCUCUUUAUCGUUUGAGCAAUGGAGGGACGCAGAAGGAUAGAAGAAGCGUGCGAUUGGUUGUGCACGUCCAAGCAGUUAGGCUGAUAAGUAGGCAAAUCCGCUUAUCGUGAAGGCUGAGCUGUGAUGGGGAAGCUCCUUAUGGAGCGAAGUCUUUGAUUCCCCGCUGCCAAGAAAAGCUUCUAGCGAGAUAAAAGGUGCCUGUACCGCAAACCGACACAGGUAGGCGAGGAGAGAAUCCUAAGGUGUGCGAGAGAACUCUGGUUAAGGAACUCGGCAAAAUGACCCCGUAACUUCGGGAGAAGGGGUGCUUUCUUAACGGAAAGCCGCAGUGAAUAGGCCCAAGCGACUGUUUAGCAAAAACACAGCUCUCUGCGAAGCCGUAAGGCGAAGUAUAGGGGGUGACACCUGCCCGGUGCUGGAAGGUUAAGGAGAGGGGUUAGCGUAAGCGAAGCUCUGAACUGAAGCCCCAGUAAACGGCGGCCGUAACUAUAACGGUCCUAAGGUAGCGAAAUUCCUUGUCGGGUAAGUUCCGACCCGCACGAAAGGUGUAACGAUUUGGGCACUGUCUCAACCAGAGACUCGGUGAAAUUAUAGUACCUGUGAAGAUGCAGGUUACCCGCGACAGGACGGAAAGACCCCGUGGAGCUUUACUGUAGCCUGAUAUUGAAUUUUGGUACAGUUUGUACAGGAUAGGCGGGAGCCUUUGAAACCGGAGCGCUAGCUUCGGUGGAGGCGCUGGUGGGAUACCGCCCUGACUGUAUUGAAAUUCUAACCUACGGGUCUUAUCGACCCGGGAGACAGUGUCAGGUGGGCAGUUUGACUGGGGCGGUCGCCUCCUAAAGUGUAACGGAGGCGCCCAAAGGUUCCCUCAGAAUGGUUGGAAAUCAUUCGUAGAGUGCAAAGGCAUAAGGGAGCUUGACUGCGAGACCUACAAGUCGAGCAGGGACGAAAGUCGGGCUUAGUGAUCCGGUGGUUCCGCAUGGAAGGGCCAUCGCUCAACGGAUAAAAGCUACCCCGGGGAUAACAGGCUUAUCUCCCCCAAGAGUCCACAUCGACGGGGAGGUUUGGCACCUCGAUGUCGGCUCAUCGCAUCCUGGGGCUGUAGUCGGUCCCAAGGGUUGGGCUGUUCGCCCAUUAAAGCGGUACGCGAGCUGGGUUCAGAACGUCGUGAGACAGUUCGGUCCCUAUCCGUCGUGGGCGUAGGAAAUUUGAGAGGAGCUGUCCUUAGUACGAGAGGACCGGGAUGGACGCACCGCUGGUGUACCAGUUGUUCUGCCAAGGGCAUAGCUGGGUAGCUAUGUGCGGAAGGGAUAAGUGCUGAAAGCAUCUAAGCAUGAAGCCCCCCUCAAGAUGAGAUUUCCCAUAGCGUAAGCUAGUAAGAUCCCUGAAAGAUGAUCAGGUUGAUAGGUUCGAGGUGGAAGCAUGGUGACAUGUGGAGCUGACGAAUACUAAUAGAUCGAGGACUUAACCAUAUAA